RNAcentral lists this ribosomal RNA (301 nucleotides) under Sphingomonas sp. PR-P12. Its description in RNAcentral is "bacterial SSU rRNA". It matches the Rfam family "Bacterial small subunit ribosomal RNA", at positions 360 to 678 of the family's 1533-position model. Lineage: Bacteria; Pseudomonadati; Pseudomonadota; Alphaproteobacteria; Sphingomonadales; Sphingomonadaceae. The record is from RNAcentral.
AAUAUUGGACAAUGGGCGAAAGCCUGAUCCAGCAAUGCCGCGUGAGUGAUGAAGGCCUUAGGGUUGUAAAGCUCUUUUACCAGGGAUGAUAAUGACAGUACCUGGAGAAUAAGCUCCGGCUAACUCCGUGCCAGCAGCCGCGGUAAUACGGAGGGAGCUAGCGUUGUUCGGAAUUACUGGGCGUAAAGCGCGCGUAGGCGGUUACUCAAGUCAGAGGUGAAAGCCCGGGGCUCAACCCCGGAACUGCCUUUGAAACUAGGUGACUANAAUCUUGGAGAGGUCAGUGGAAUUCCCAGUGUAU